CUCUGUGACUCCUACGGGAGGCAGCAGUGGGGAAUAUUGCACAAUGGGCGCAAGCCUGAUGCAGCCAUGCCGCGUGUAUGAAGAAGGCCUUCGGGUUGUAAAGUACUUUCAGCAGUGAGGAAGGUGGUGCAGUUAAUAGCUGUAUCAUUUGACGUUAGCUGCAGAAGAAGCACCGGCUAACUCCGUGCCAGCAGCCGCGGUAAUACGGAGGGUGCGAGCGUUAAUCGGAAUUACUGGGCGUAAAGCGCAUGCAGGUGGUUUGUUAAGUCAGAUGUGAAAGCCCCGGGGCUCAACCUCGGAAUUGCAUUUGAAACUGGCAGACUAGAGUACUGUAGAGGGGGUAGAAUUUCAGGUGUAGCGGUGAAAUGCGUAGAGAUCUGAAGGAAUACCGGUGGCGAAGGCGGCCCCCUGGACAAAGACUGACGCUCAGAUGCGAAAGCGUGGGGAGCAAACAGGAUUAGAUACCCUGGUAG
Molecule: ribosomal RNA, 473 nt
Filed under: uncultured bacterium
Lineage: Bacteria
Description: bacterial SSU rRNA
Rfam family: Bacterial small subunit ribosomal RNA
Source: RNAcentral